AAACUUUACAAUGCGGGAAACCGUGAUAAGGGAAUCUCGAGUGCCAGCAUAUAAUGUUGGCUGUCUGGAUGCCUAAAAAGCAUCUGUUAGCAAGGCCGGGCAAGACCGGUGCCAGCCGCCGCGGUAACACCGGCGGCCCGAGUGGUAACCGCUUUUAUUGGGUCUAAAGGGUCUGUAGCCGGCCAAGUAAGUCCCUUGGGAAAUCUGGCAGCUCAACUGUCAGGCUGCUAGGGGGUACUGUUUGGCUUGGGACCGGGAGAGGUGAGAGGUACCUUGGGGGUAGGGGUGAAAUCUUGUGAUCCUCGAGGGACCACCAGUGGCGAAGGCGUCUCACCAGAACGGGUCCGACGGUAAGGGACGAAAGCUAGGGGCACGAACCGGAUUAGAUACCCGGGUAG
RNAcentral lists this ribosomal RNA (398 nucleotides) under uncultured archaeon. Its description in RNAcentral is "bacterial SSU rRNA". It matches the Rfam family "Archaeal small subunit ribosomal RNA", at positions 345 to 744 of the family's 1478-position model. The record is from RNAcentral.